Long non-coding RNA from Symphalangus syndactylus (siamang), 271 nucleotides. RefSeq lists it as uncharacterized. Lineage: Eukaryota; Metazoa; Chordata; Mammalia; Primates; Hylobatidae. The record is from RefSeq and is a predicted model, not a curated record.
AUCACUAAAUUUUAUCCAGAUUUAAAAAACCAAAAAUACAGCAUAAAAUGUCUAAGUUAAAUUCAAGAAAGACUUCAUUAAGGUCAGAAAUGAACACCUCAGAUUUUGUUCUGAGGGACUAGCUGAUGCCCAGCUGAGAGGAUGGGAGUUAGGGUGGGGAAAGACAUGCGCUUUGGAAUGAAGAAAAGUGGAAGUAAAGCAGGUGGCUGAGAGCCGAGAGAACUCAUGCAAUGAACUACAGGCCCCAGAAGAUUCAGGUCACAGUACAGGU